Molecule: RNA transcript, 1413 nt
Organism: Thamnophis elegans (Western terrestrial garter snake)
Lineage: Eukaryota; Metazoa; Chordata; Lepidosauria; Squamata; Natricidae
Gene: HYI
Gene name: hydroxypyruvate isomerase (putative)
Exons: 9
Source: RefSeq, a predicted model, not a curated record
UCCUCCUCCUCCUCCCGGGCGCAGUGUGCGCUGGGCCGCAGACACCGCUUCACCCCCUGUGCCAUGGCCACGCUGCGCUUUGCGGCCAACCUGGCCUGGCUCUUCCAGGAGGAGCCGACGCUGGGUCAGCGCAUGGAGGCGGCUUCGCGGGCCGGAUUCCGAGCAGUUGAGCUGGCCUUCCCUUACGCCUCCGACGCCCCAGAGUUGCGCGCGGCUGCAGAACGGCACGGGCUGGAGGUGGUCCUGCUGAAUACUCCGCCGGGGAACCAAGAGAAAGGUGAUAUGGGUUUAGGAGCAGUGCCUGGACGCCAGCCUGAAUUCCGGGAAGCUGUGGCUUUGGCUGUGAAGUAUGCCAAAGAACUGAAAUGUCCAAGGAUCCAUCUUAUGGCUGGCCGAUUUCCUACAGGUGCUAAAAGGGAUGCUGCGUCAACUGAGAUGGAAGCCACCUUUAUUGAAAACCUCAAAUAUGCUGCUGACAUCUUGGAACAAGAAAAUCUGAUUGGAUUACUGGAGCCUAUUAAUAACCGGAUUAGUGAUCCCAAUUAUUUUCUGACCACACCACAGCAAGCUGCUGCCAUUUUGGAAAAGGUGGGAAGACCCAGUUUGAAGCUAGAGCUGGAUAUUUUCCAUUGCCAGAUCAUGGAUGGUAAUUUGACACAGAAUUUAAAGACAUUUUUUCCCAUUAUUGGACAUAUUCAAAUUGCCCAAGUACCAGAACGACAUGAGCCUGAUAGCCCUGGAGAACUGAACUUCCGUUACUUAUUCCAGUUACUGGAGUCAAUGAAUUAUAGUGGUUAUAUAGGCUGCGAAUAUAAACCAAAAGGUAACACACUGGAUGGAUUAAACUGGCUGUUCUCCUACUGGGAAGAUCAUUGUGUGUAAAAAGUUGGAAAAAAUUGAAAUAAAGACCAUUAUAGAUGGAGAAACCAACAGCAACAAUUGCUGUAUUCCCCUCCAGAGGGAACAACCACUCUUUUGCUACUUCCUGAGAUGCAAAGCAUUUGCACCCCAACAUUCUGAAUACAAUAACAAAAACUGGCAAAAGGAGUGCAAAAUUAUGAUGAGAACUCCCAAAGAUGCUGGUAUCCCUUUUUCUUCCUGCUAACAAUUAAUGGGAAAGAGUUUGGUCCAAAGGAAAGAAACUCAUGUCACUCCAGAUGUAGCUCAACACUGCCACUUGGUGGGUCUAGAAAAAGAAAUCCUUGAUUUUUUUAAAAUUUGCCUUUUUCUUGCAUCAUGUCCUGUUUCUACUCAAAAACAGCUGGAUCCGCAAUGUAACAUUAAAAUCUGAUAAGUGUUUGACAGAACUCAUGGGAAUCCAGGCCAGCUGUCUUAGAAUACAUCAGCAUAUCCUAUAACAACAGGAUAGGAAUCUGGCAGUGCUUCCACCCAUCUUGACAGAAAGUUGUUUUG